GAUGAACGCUAGCUACAGGCUUAACACAUGCAAGUCGAGGGGCAUCAGGAAGAAAGCUUGCUUUCUUUGCUGGCGACCGGCGCACGGGUGAGUAACACGUAUCCAACCUGCCCUUUACUCGGGGAUAGCCUUUCGAAAGAAAGAUUAAUACCCGAUGGCAUAGUUCUUCCGCAUGGUAGAACUAUUAAAGAAUUUCGGUCAUCGAUGGGGAUGCGUUCCAUUAGGUUGUUGGCGGGGUAACGGCCCACCAAGCCUUCGAUGGAUAGGGGUUCUGAGAGGAAGGUCCCCCACAUUGGAACUGAGACACGGUCCAA
This 314-nucleotide ribosomal RNA is filed under the name uncultured bacterium. RNAcentral's name for it is "bacterial SSU rRNA". It matches the Rfam family "Bacterial small subunit ribosomal RNA", at positions 28 to 334 of the family's 1533-position model. The record is from RNAcentral.